This 1225-nucleotide ribosomal RNA is filed under the name Salmonella enterica. RNAcentral's name for it is "partial 23S ribosomal RNA". It matches the Rfam family "Bacterial large subunit ribosomal RNA", at positions 1 to 1268 of the family's 2925-position model. Lineage: Bacteria; Pseudomonadati; Pseudomonadota; Gammaproteobacteria; Enterobacterales; Enterobacteriaceae. The record is from RNAcentral.
GGUUAAGCGACUAAGCGUACACGGUGGAUGCCCUGGCAGUCAGAGGCGAUGAAGGACGUGCUAAUCUGCGAUAAGCGCCGGUAAGGUGAUAUGAACCGUUAUAACCGACGAUUUCCGAAUGGGGAAACCCAGUGUGACUCGUCACACUAUCAUUAACUGAAUCCAUAGGUUAAUGAGGCGAACCGGGGGAACUGAAACAUCUAAGUACCCCGAGGAAAAGAAAUCAACCGAGAUUCCCCCAGUAGCGGCGAGCGAACGGGGAGGAGCCCAGAGCCUGAAUCAGCAUGUGUGUUAGUGGAAGCGUCUGGAAAGGCGCGCGAUACAGGGUGACAGCCCCGUACACAAAAGCGCAUGUGCUGUGAGCUCGAUGAGUAGGGCGGGACACGUGGUAUCCUGUCUGAAUAUGGGGGGACCAUCCUCCAAGGCUAAAUACUCCUGACUGACCGAUAGUGAACCAGUACCGUGAGGGAAAGGCGAAAAGAACCCCGGCGAGGGGAGUGAAAAAGAACCUGAAACCGUGUACGUACAAGCAGUGGGAGCACCUUCGGGUGUGACUGCGUACCUUUUGUAUAAUGGGUCAGCGACUUAUAUUCUGUAGCAAGGUUAACCGAAUAGGGGAGCCGUAGGGAAACCGAGUCUUAACCGGGCGUUAAGUUGCAGGGUAUAGACCCGAAACCCGGUGAUCUAGCCAUGGGCAGGUUGAAGGUUGGGUAACACUAACUGGAGGACCGAACCGACUAAUGUUGAAAAAUUAGCGGAUGACCUGUGGCUGGGGGUGAAAGGCCAAUCAAACCGGGAGAUAGCUGGUUCUCCCCGAAAGCUAUUUAGGUAGCGCCUCGUGAAUUCAUCUCCGGGGGUAGAGCACUGUUUCGGCUAGGGGGCCAUCCCGGCUUACCAACCCGAUGCAAACUGCGAAUACCGGAGAAUGUUAUCACGGGAGACACACGGCGGGUGCUAACGUCCGUCGUGAAGAGGGAAACAACCCAGACCGCCAGCUAAGGUCCCAAAGUCAUGGUUAAGUGGGAAACGAUGUGGGAAGGCUCAGACAGCCAGGAUGUUGGCUUAGAAGCAGCCAUCAUUUAAAGAAAGCGUAAUAGCUCACUGGUCGAGUCGGCCUGCGCGGAAGAUGUAACGGGGCUAAACCAUGCACCGAAGCUGCGGCAGCGACACUGUGUGUUGUUGGGUAGGGGAGCGUUCUGUAAGCCUGUGAAGGUGUGCUGUGAGG